GUGGAGCAGAGAGGGAAUUACCUCAAUCUCAGGUGUGAGGCUCAACAUGGCACCUCAUAUAUUACUUUUACCUGAACAAUGGUGACUUACACUUCAAAAAGCAACCCUACAAAGAUAAUGUUUGCGUGGGGAGAGUUGCCCAAGAGGAGCUACUGACGAUGAUGAAGAGGAGCAGCCCUGGAGAGAUUUUCAUCACAUGUGCUGUGGAGAUGGUGAUAAAGGGGAAUUCUGUGACAUCACAGCACAGUGAACCUCUCAGUAUCACCGUAGAUGCUGUAAAUCCUACAGGAGCCACAGGUUCCAUAGCAGACUUCAGUUCCAUCCCACCUGGAGAGGAGAAGGCAGUCAGUGAAGUCAUCAGCCUAACUACCCAAGAAGAAGACCCUUCCUCAAUGAUCCCCCUCUACAUCGGUCUCCGUGCCGGUAUCUAUGUUCUCAUCCUUCUGGUGGAAUCUCUUCUGUGUUUUCUCUGGUGUAGACAUGGUGAUGAACGAGGAAAUAACAGUAGGAGGAAGAGAACUCAAGUCUGCACUAUGCUAUGAGGAUGUGACCUUGCUGGGGAGUUCAAGUUGGAUAUGGCUGGAGAGUAUGAUGUGUCAAUGUUUUUAUAAACCAGAAGUCAAUAGGAGUAGAAGUUAUUACAUUCGAACAAGUUGCAAUUUCAUGCACCUUGUGAAUGAAUUUUUAUAUUAUGCACAGUGUUUAAUGUGUAAUGUGUUUGUAUAUGUUAAAUAUAGCAAUUUUAUUAGCAUUGAAUUUUUUUCUGCUCUUGUAUGUUGUGUUUUCCAGUGGAAAUAAAGCUUGUACAGUAUGUUGUAAAUCUUGUUGGAAAUGUUGUUUCUUUUCUCUGGAAGAGAAAUUGUGUUGUUUAGAUUACACAGCCGUUGUGUUUCAAUGGUCUGUCUCAUGAUGUUCACUGUUGUACCUGAGCUUUAGCUGGGUGUUUUGUGUCUGUUUGUCAUGUAGACGUGACCACAGUGGGGGUAGUGCUCAUUGUAAGGUUCUGCUUCACUUUCUUUAG
This 1021-nucleotide long non-coding RNA is filed under the name Salmo salar (Atlantic salmon). RNAcentral describes it as "lncRNA (ENSSSAG00000113079.1)". Lineage: Eukaryota; Metazoa; Chordata; Actinopteri; Salmoniformes; Salmonidae. The record is from RNAcentral.